Molecule: transfer RNA, 99 nt
Filed under: Sclerotinia nivalis
Lineage: Eukaryota; Fungi; Ascomycota; Leotiomycetes; Helotiales; Sclerotiniaceae
Rfam family: tRNA
About the family: Transfer RNA (tRNA) molecules are approximately 80 nucleotides in length.
Source: Rfam by way of RNAcentral
UCCCUCGUGGCGCAAUUGGCUAGCGCGUUCGACUGUUAAUCGUAGUAUCUCACGAGUCACGUGAUCGAGAGGCUGGUGGUUCGAGCCCACCCGAGGGAG